UUUUUUAAGGUAAGAAUGUAUUUUUUUAAAAAUUAUGAUUACUUCUACAAAAGGACUUUUUGGCAUAUUUCAAAUUUAAAUUCUUUAUCCCAUAGUUUCUGAUAUCCUACCUUGUCAGUUCUCAGCAUUUAAUCUUACUGUUUUCUGGUGGCAUGAUGCAGCGUUGACAUAAGUUCAUCCAAAUCCUUUCUUCGAGGCGGACAAAAACCCAGCGUUAAUGUGCAGUCUGCAGGACAUACUGUUCCUGUGUUUGUUAAUGGGCAAUUUUCAGGGUUGGCUUUCAGGACAAGGGAGCAGAGAAGUUGCACAUAAAAUGGACCCGUUGACCUACGCGUUGGAACUAACAAAAUUGCUCUUGUAACUUCAACUUGGAGAUAUUUGAUGGCUUAUGCAAAGGGCAACUGUUGGAUUUCAGAAUGUUGGUCGGCAUUAUGAAACAUGGGAGGCAGGGUUCACUGGUCCAGUUUUGCUCCAUGGUCUUGACCAAGGACAGAAAGAUUUGACGAGAAACAAGUGUUCA
Long non-coding RNA from Glycine soja, 520 nucleotides. RefSeq lists it as uncharacterized. The transcript has 3 exons. The record is from RefSeq and is a predicted model, not a curated record. NCBI's taxonomy places the organism in Eukaryota, Viridiplantae, Streptophyta, Magnoliopsida, Fabales, Fabaceae.